GACGAAGGUGCAAGCGUUGCUCGGAAUCACUGGGCGUUAAGCGCACGUAGGCGGCUUUCUAAGUCAGGGGUGAAAUCCUGGAGCUCAACUCCAGAACUGCCUUUGAUACUGGGAAGCUCGAGUCCGGAAGAGGUGAGUGGAACUCCGAGUGUAGAGGUGAAAUUCGUAGAUAUUCGGAAGAACACCAGUGGCGAAGGCGGCUCACUGGUCCGGUACUGACGCUGAGGUGCGAAAGCGUGGGGAGCAAACAGG
Molecule: ribosomal RNA, 252 nt
Filed under: uncultured bacterium
Lineage: Bacteria
Description: partial 16S ribosomal RNA
Rfam family: Bacterial small subunit ribosomal RNA
Source: RNAcentral